This is an RNA transcript of Triplophysa dalaica, 493 nucleotides long. It is a transcript of the gene named probable ATP-dependent RNA helicase DDX27, with no coding region annotated. Lineage: Eukaryota; Metazoa; Chordata; Actinopteri; Cypriniformes; Nemacheilidae. The record is from RefSeq and is a predicted model, not a curated record. The transcript is spliced from 4 exons.
ACGUGUGUGUAUGUGCAUGUGUGUCAGGUCUCUGUGAGCACCAGCGUUCAUGUUUUUGUUUUAUUUCACUUUAGGAUUUCUUUAAAUUACUCUGCUGCGGUUUUAAUGUGUGAAGACAAACAUGUUUUUUGAUGGUCUGAUCAGAACUCUUGACGAUAAUGAUGACGUGCCAGAGGAAUCAGACUCAGCGUCUGAUAAUGAAGCCGAUGAGCCGAUCGUGUUGAGUAAAGAGAAGCGAGCUCUGAAGGGUCGAGGCGCUGGAGACUUCGAUGCAGGUUUUGAGUUUGGAGAGCGUGAUGGUCUGUACAGUGAUGACUGGAUCAUGGCAGAUGUUAUGGCUCAGCUGAAGAAGAGGACCCAAGAACUCCAAGCAGCCUGAACGUGAAGAGAAGAGGGUGUUGGGUUUGGUUUUGCUUCGAGUAGAGAAUCUCGUUUCUAUGACUGUUGAAGGUCCUCCACCCAAAGAUACUGGCAUUGCCCGUGUACCACUGGC